GACGAGCGCUGGCGGCGUGCUUAACACAUGCAAGUCGAACGGAAAGGCCCUGCUUUUGUGGGGUGCUCGAGUGGCGAACGGGUGAGUAACACGUGAGUAACCUGCCCUUGACUUUGGGAUAACUUCAGGAAACUGGGGCUAAUACCGGAUAGGAGCUCCUGCUGCAUGGUGGGGGUUGGAAAGUUUCGGCGGUUGGGGAUGGACUCGCGGCUUAUCAGCUUGUUGGUGGGGUAGUGGCUUACCAAGGCUUUGACGGGUAGCCGGCCUGAGAGGGUGACCGGCCACAUUGGGACUGAGAUACGGCCCAGACUCCUACGGGAGGCAGCAGUGGGGAAUAUUGCACAAUGGGCGGAAGCCUGAUGCAGCAACGCCGCGUGCGGGAUGACGGCCUUCGGGUUGUAAACCGCUUUCGCCUGUGACGAAGCGUGAGUGACGGUAAUGGAUAAAGAAGCACCGGCUAACUACGUG
RNAcentral lists this ribosomal RNA (468 nucleotides) under uncultured bacterium. Its description in RNAcentral is "partial 16S ribosomal RNA". It matches the Rfam family "Bacterial small subunit ribosomal RNA", at positions 28 to 507 of the family's 1533-position model. The record is from RNAcentral.